GGCUCAGAAUUAACGCUGGCGGCAUGCGUAACACAUGCAAGUCGUACGAUAAAGCCCGGUUCGCCGGGCGAGUAAAGUGGCGCACGGGUGAGUAACGCGUGGGUAAUCUACCCCGGUCUGGGGGAUAACGCACCGAAAGGUGCGCUAAUACCGCAUGACCCGGCAGGUUUUCGGAACUGUCGGAAAAGGUGGCCUCUACAUGUAAGCUACCGAACCGGGAUGAGCCCGCGUCCUAUUAGCUUGUUGGUGGGGUAAUGGCCUACCAAGGCGACGAUGGGUAGCUGGUCUGAGAGGACGGCCAGCCACACUGGAACUGGUACACGGUCCAGACUCCUACGGGAGGCAGCAGUGAGGAAUAUUGCGCAAUGGGGGAAACCCUGACGCAGCGAUGCCGCGUGAGUGAAGAAGGCCUUCGGGUCGUAAAGCUCUGUCAAACGGGAAGAACAGCUCUGGAGCUAAUAUCUUCAGGGUGUGACGGUACCGUUGAAGGAAGCACCGGCUAACUCCGUGCCAGCAGCCGCGGUAAGACGGAGGGUGCAAGCGUUAUUCGGAUUCAUUGGGCGUAAAGGGUGUGUAGGCGGUCGGCCAAGUCUGAUGUGAAAGCCCGGGGCUUAACCUCGGAAGGGCGUUGGAAACUGGUCGACUUGAGUUCGGGAGAGGAAAGCGGAAUUCCGGGUGUAGAGGUGAAAUUCGUAGAUAUCCGGAGGAACACCGGUGGCGAAGGCGGCUUUCUGGACCGAAACUGACGCUGAGACACGAAAGCGUGGGGAGCAAACAGGAUUAGAUACCCUGGUAGUCCACGCGGUAAACGAUGGGCGCUAGGUGUGGGGGGUUUUUAAUCCCUCCGUGCCGCAGCUAACGCAUUAAGCGCCCCG
Molecule: ribosomal RNA, 875 nt
Filed under: uncultured bacterium
Lineage: Bacteria
Description: bacterial SSU rRNA
Rfam family: Bacterial small subunit ribosomal RNA
Source: RNAcentral